RNAcentral lists this transfer RNA (84 nucleotides) under Candidatus Pelagibacter sp. RNAcentral describes it as "tRNA-Leu". It matches the Rfam family "tRNA". Rfam says of the family: Transfer RNA (tRNA) molecules are approximately 80 nucleotides in length. Their secondary structure includes four short double-helical elements and three loops (D, anti-codon, and T loops). Further hydrogen bonds mediate the characteristic L-shaped molecular structure. tRNAs have two regions of fundamental functional importance: the anti-codon, which is responsible for specific mRNA codon recognition, and the 3' end, to which the tRNAs corresponding amino acid is attached (by aminoacyl-tRNA synthetases). tRNAs cope with the degeneracy of the genetic code in two manners: having more than one tRNA (with a specific anti-codon) for a particular amino acid; and 'wobble' base-pairing, i.e. permitting non-standard base-pairing at the 3rd anti-codon position. Lineage: Bacteria; Pseudomonadati; Pseudomonadota; Alphaproteobacteria; Candidatus Pelagibacterales; Candidatus Pelagibacteraceae. The record is from RNAcentral.
GGGCGAGUGGUGGAAUGGCAGACACGCCAGUCUUAGGAACUGGUCUCGCAAGAGGUGAAGGUUCGAGUCCUUUCUCGCCUACCA